AUUGCUUCUAAUUGUCCCUUGGACAUACUGGUCAAUUGUCUGACAUCGGAUCAGGUGGGAUUACCCGCUGAACUUAAAGCAUAUC
This 85-nucleotide ribosomal RNA is filed under the name Hydnum rufescens. RNAcentral describes it as "partial 25S ribosomal RNA". Lineage: Eukaryota; Fungi; Basidiomycota; Agaricomycetes; Cantharellales; Hydnaceae. The record is from RNAcentral.